UACAGAGGUGGCAAGCGUUAUCCGGAUUCACUGGGUUUAAAGGGUGCGUAGGUGGGCAGGUAAGUCAGUGGUGAAAUCUCCGGGCUUAACUCGGAAACUGCCAUUGAUACUAUCUUUCUUGAAUACCGUGGAGGUCAGCGGAAUAUGUCAUGUAGCGGUGAAAUGCUUAGAUAUGACAUAGAACACCAAUUGCGAAGGCAGCUGGCUACACGAAUAUUGACACUGAUGCACGAAAGCGUGGGGAUCAAACAGG
RNAcentral lists this ribosomal RNA (253 nucleotides) under uncultured bacterium. RNAcentral describes it as "partial 16S ribosomal RNA". It matches the Rfam family "Bacterial small subunit ribosomal RNA", at positions 524 to 776 of the family's 1533-position model. The record is from RNAcentral.